RNAcentral lists this transfer RNA (72 nucleotides) under Chloroflexota bacterium. RNAcentral's name for it is "Chloroflexi bacterium (sediment metagenome) tRNA-Lys". It matches the Rfam family "tRNA". From Rfam's summary of the family: Transfer RNA (tRNA) molecules are approximately 80 nucleotides in length. Their secondary structure includes four short double-helical elements and three loops (D, anti-codon, and T loops). Lineage: Bacteria; Bacillati; Chloroflexota. The record is from RNAcentral.
GCGCCGCUAGCUCAACGGCAGAGCAGGGGCCUUUUAAGCCCAAGGUUGCAGGUUCGAAUCCUGCGCGGCGCA